GUGAAUACUAGCCAAUCGAAAUCAUCCACGUUAGAAAACGUGCAUGUAUAAAAUGUCUAUUCAAUGUACGGUCAUCAUUUAAACUACUCGUGUAUUCUAGUUUAGAGGAAGUAUUGCAUAAGGGCAAAAAACGAAACAGAGUAUUCAAAAAUCUCGACGAUUUAGACCUCCCUGAAUUUACUGAGCUGAUUAAAAUGAAGUUCGCAUUUUUUCUUCUUCUGGUGUGUAUGGCAAAUCUCUUUGUUGAAACAGACAGUUGUUGCACAUAUAGUGGAGGCUGUUCAACCCAUAAAGAUUGUUGCACAUCAUAUGUUUGUCACCGAUAUGGUGCCGGACAAAAAAGAUGUGUUGCAAAUGGUAGAAAAUAAAAAGUAAAGUAUGUUGUAGGGCGCUGUAAAAUAAUACGUUGCGUUGGGGUUGUUUCUGCUGUAAACAAAGAACAACAAUAUCAUUUUCUCUAAAAUUAAGCACUCCACACCUUAGCCGUCCAUCCUUCUGUCAUCGCUAUAGAUUUUGGAACCAUAAACGUUAACAUCGCACCAUGCUGUGCUUUUCAUUGCA
Molecule: long non-coding RNA, 561 nt
Organism: Physella acuta
Lineage: Eukaryota; Metazoa; Mollusca; Gastropoda; Physidae
Source: RefSeq, a predicted model, not a curated record